AUUAGGGUUGGAAGAGACCUCUGGAGAUCAUCUGUUUGAAGACCCUGCCAAGGAAUGCAUCCAGGCAGGAUUUGGGUGUCUCCAGAGACGACUGUUCUGAAAUGCCUGAGCAAUGGGAAGGAAAGGCCACUCAGUUCCCCCUGUACCUAAUUAAAUACAGGAAAGAUUGGACAGAAGGAGCCAGGAACAGCCCUCUUGUUCCAGGCCAGGAACUGAUUCUAAAUGGAAGAGGUGCUGAUACUACUUCAGAUGAAAAGCUACAAGGAAGGUCCCAUGUCUGAGCAGUUAACAAGUACUUGUGAUAAACUUGUCAAACCACAGGAUUUCCUUCUGCCCUACGAUGUAACUGUGUGAUUCAGAGGCACAGUCUGAAGACAAGAAGAAAUCAGGACUGAAGAAUCAAUACUUCUGCAAUAAUUACUGUUCCUGGACUAUGAUUUCUAGCUCCUGAGCAAGAUGAGAGUGAGAGUGAGCUUCGUCUUUAGAGGAGAGGCUGAUUUGAAGCUGGAGCUGCUACAUGCCCUUGCCUAAAGGCAGAAUUCUGCUUUCCCAGAGCUUCUGCCUGGGUUUGUCCCUGAGGAGCCAUUAAGCAGCUCUGAUGGAGAGAACAGAUAGGAAAAGCACUGCCCUGAUAAAAGUGGCCAUGUGGGGGGGAAGAAUAGAGGAGAGACUGUCUGUUUUUAAGUAACAAUCACAAAGGAUAAAACUUUGUCCUUUCUAGGAAACAAUGUGAUUUAUUGCUGAAACUGCUGGAUGACACUAACUUCAGAGUCAUCAUUUGCUGAGGAGAGCUGUCUCCUCCUGUAUCUCUUUUCCACUUAAUCUCUGGCUUCACAUGAGGCUGUUUUACUUACAGCGCAAGCAAGCAAGAAUAGGCAUCACAUGCAGCAGCAACCUAACAGACACCAUGAGCACCAACAAGCUAGCAUGCAUGCCUUUAGACGCCCAAGCAACCACCCAGCAAUGUUUCCCUAUCCAAACUGGACAUCUCCUAAAAAGGCAGUUGAGAAUUCAGCUGUCCAGGUUUUGUGAUGGAAUCUGUUAGACCAACCUUCACUACAACAUAUUAGCCUUUGGCUUCAGCUGGAAUUAAACACAACAUAGCACAUGAUCCCCUCACUGAACAAAAUCCCCAUGCUGAGCAGACCUAAGGAAAGGAGGUGGAAUCCCAUCCUGCUCUCCUGGUCUGUUUCUCAUGUAGAUUUGCUAUAAAGGAAGUGUUACUCUAAAUUAUGUCUUUAGGUAAGAAACAUCCAUAUCAAACACACCAUUAAACCUCACUCAGAUCAUGUAUGGAUGGCUGCCACACCUCUUCCCUUGUUACCAAUCAUCAGUCACUGACCUGAGAUAAUGGUUUCCUCUGUCCGCAGUUUAUGCCUCCAAUGAAAAUCAUAUUGGGCAUUAUGGGCAUGGGAUAGUCAAAGACAAAGUCAAGUCUUUUCAGCCAAACAGAUCCAUGACUUAAAAGCUGCGUCAUUGUCAUUGGCUUUUGGAGGAAGUCUGAGGCCAGGCUUUCGAAUCCUGAAAAGGCCACACUGCAGGUGAAAGUCUCUGAAAGGCUUAUCAGGAAGUUCUUCACUCUCUGAGAGAAUGUCAUGUGGUCUGUAUUUUGUGAGAAUAGGCGUGGGACAUAGGAUGGUGGGUCUGGCGCCUGAGCAGCGUGCAUGUCUAUAGCGCAUGGGACGCCCCGCAAGAAGAAAACAGUAGGGAUAGAAAAUUUCAAAGCAAUUAUCUGUCCACAGGGUGUCAGAGGAUCUGUAAAGACGACAUCGAAUUUACUUUCUUCAAUGUAUUUCAUCAGCUCUUUGUUGUACAGUAAGAAACUGCAGGAAGCUUGAAACAUGGCAGAGCUCUUCUUGAAGUUAUUCCACAUAUUCAUAAACCUGGUCAGGAAAGGAUCGUUGCUAAAAGCAAGUUCACUAAGGGCAUGCAAACCUUCUUCCAUCUCUUCCUUUUUGAAAGGUACAGGAUAAGUUUUCAUUUCAUAUGUCCCCGAGGAAUCUACCAGCAUUUUGCUCUCUGGUGCCACAACAACUAUUUCAUGCCCUUUCUUGUUCAGCUCGGCCAGCACUUCCUUCAUACUGAGCCAGUGGCUGCCCUCCAUAGGGAUUACCAGGAUCUUCCCAGCAGUGGCAGGACUCAGGCAGCACAAGAAGAGGAGCAGCACUGCCACCAGCAUGUUGCAGGUUGGAUGGGUAGGAACCCACACACAAGAGAGCUCAGCAGGGGUUCACAAGCUUUUGUAGCUGUGCUCCACCCUCGCAAACACCCCACUUGGCAGCGCUUUCUUAUCAUACCUCUGCCCUUUCAACUUGCCUCUGCCUUUCGGGUGCUCGCAAGUUCACGUGCAAUGAAGUCACCAUCGGUGAGUAAUGAUUGUAAAAGAUGAGAUGAUGUUUGCACUUCAAAAUGCACGAGCACAGCAAAGGUGUGUCUCCUAUUGUACGCUUGGCUCAGGCAAGCUGAAACUACAGCUCAAUAUCUCAGCCUUCUUCUUCUCACAGUAGGACCUCAGCCUUAUGACACUUCUUACCUUUACAACCCAGCAACUUUUGCUGACAUGUACUGACAACGUGCUCUAAGGUGCAUGGGGAUCCAUGAAGGAAAUGUACACACAGAGUGGAUGCCCAGAAGCCCUGCUGACCCCAUAUGGUAGUAGUGGGUUUACAAAAAUCACACUCAAACGGCUCUUUGCCCUCUAGUAUUCAAGUUCUUCCAUCUCAUCUGUUUUGAAAGGAAGAGAUGGCUGACACUGAAGGCUGACGCCUGACGGAGUUGUAACCAAGUGUAGUAAGUUGGUAUUUUUUAGUAAGUAUUUUCUUUCCUAAUGAAGCUGAGGCAGGUUGUACAGUGAAACAUAACUUACAGUAAAGAGAGAUAAAUAUGAGAAAGCAAUGUUAAGGUACCUUAGUUCCAUUUUUUGCCUUUUUUCUUUUUAAUAACCCAAACCAGUUGGUACAACUGAGGAAAAUGACUUCUUUUUUUCAUUGAUGCAAACAUGUAUUUUUUGGACAAUAAGUAGCCAACAGAACAUCUUCCCCCACCUCUACGUAACCCUCCCAUCUAACCUCUUGUCCUACUGGAUAUAAAACUCAGUUGCAGAACAGCAGUUCACGUUGUACCUGAGAUAACAUAAACUCACAACACGUUUCCAAUUCAUGAACUCACAAGUUCAUGGCCAAUGUCAGUUCAGUUCAUGACUGAAAGAGUUCAUGAACUCUGCGGGUCCAGGUCCUUCUCCAGCUGUAAACUGCUGGGGUUUUAUGUUGGUGAUAAUCUCUCACCAUAAAAGUUUAUAAGCAGGUGAUUGGGCAGGUGCCUUUGGGAUACAAUUUGUGCCUCCAGGACAUUCAAGGCUCUACAUCACUAGUGGAGCUUGCUUUCACAUUCAGCUUUUGCAAGCUUAUUUUCAAGUCUGGUUGGAAAGUUUUGACCUCAAUGAGAACCUGCCCUCCAAAAAGAGCAGCCAGAUUCAUCGCCUACGCUGUCACCAUAUCAAUAAUUUACAACAUAGAUUUGACUGAAUGGACAUUUUCAAACAGCUCAGGAGAAGGUGAUGCACAGAAACAAGCCUCUUGCUCAUAACCUCUGAAAAAGCUCUCAAAUGAACCCUAGAAGAAGAUGCUUUCAAGCUAGAUUGACACAUGAAGCAAGACAGUCAUGCAUGUUCAGUCAUCCAGUUCCAACCCCCUGCCAUGGGCCUGGACACCUUCCACUAGAGCAGGUUGCUCCAAGCCCCAUCCAACCUGGCCUUACACACUUGCCCACUCCUGACUGCAUGUCCUUUUGAAAGACGCCUUGUGAGCAACUGCUACUCCUUGUCCUUCAAUUGAACAACUAGAGUUAACCAAGUAGCACCACAGACUGUUCUGUUUAUCCCUCCAAUAAAAACCAUGUUGGGCAUCACUGGUCUCGGGAACUCAAACACAAAGUCAUAUCUCAUCAGCCAAACAGAUCCACGGCUUAGAAGGUCCACAGUUGUCACUCGCUUUUGGAAAAACUCACUUGCAAGUUUUUCAAAUUGAGCAAAGAAAGGCUUACAGUAAACGAACUCCAGCAUACGGACCAGCACGUUCUUCACACGUUGAGUAAAUAUCAUGUUAUCUGAAUUAUUGACGAAGAGCCUGGGGAUGUAGGAAAGAGGGUUUGGGCACUGGGUGGCAUCAGAAUUUGUACCACAAGAAAGUCCCCGCAGAAAGUAGAUGGAAGGAAUUGAAAGCAGCUCAGCAAUUAUGGGUCCGCACAUCUGAGUUGGAUCCGUUAAAACUACCUCAAAUUUGCUCUCUCUCAGAUACUGCAUCAUGUCUUUGUUGUGCAAGAGGCUCUUACAGUUGCUGAAAAACAACUUGGAUAUUUCUAUGGUGCUUUGGUACGUUGUAAUAAUGAU
Long non-coding RNA from Strigops habroptila (Kakapo), 4387 nucleotides. RefSeq lists it as uncharacterized. Lineage: Eukaryota; Metazoa; Chordata; Aves; Psittaciformes; Psittacidae. The transcript has 3 exons. The record is from RefSeq and is a predicted model, not a curated record.